Molecule: ribosomal RNA, 414 nt
Filed under: Tritia corniculum
Lineage: Eukaryota; Metazoa; Mollusca; Gastropoda; Neogastropoda; Nassariidae
Description: partial 16S ribosomal RNA
Rfam family: Bacterial large subunit ribosomal RNA
Source: RNAcentral
CUGACCGUGCAAAGGUAGCAUAAUCAUUUGCCUUAUAAUUGAAGGCUAGUAUGAAUGGUUUGACAUGAAUGUAGCUGUCUCUUUAUAAUUUAAUAGAAUUUUAUCUUCAGGUGAAGAAGCCUGAAUUCGAUUAAAAGACAAGAAGACCCUAUCGAGCUUGAAAGAAAUUGAUGGAAUUAAAGUCAAUACAGUUAAAAGAUUAUCUGUCAUAUAUUUUAGUUGGGGCGACUGAGGAACAUAAAAAGCUUCCUUUAAAAAUAUUAGUUUAAGUCAAACUAGAAUUGAUCCAAAAUAUUUUGAUUAAAGGAAAUAGUUACCGUAGGGAUAACAGCAUUAUCUUUUUUAAGAGCUCAUAUCGAAAAAAAGGUUUGUGACCUCGAUGUUGGACCAGAAUAUCCUAAAGGUGCAGCAGCC